This 341-nucleotide ribosomal RNA is filed under the name uncultured bacterium. RNAcentral's name for it is "partial 16S ribosomal RNA". It matches the Rfam family "Bacterial small subunit ribosomal RNA", at positions 338 to 696 of the family's 1533-position model. The record is from RNAcentral.
CCUACGGGUGGCAGCAGUAGGGAAUAUUGCUCAAUGGGCGAAACCCUGAAGCAGCAACGCCGCGUGGAGGAAGAAGGUUUUCGGAUUGUAAACUCCUUUUGUUAGAGACGAUAAUGACGGUAUUUAACGACUAAGCACCGGACAACUCCGUGCCAGCAGCCGCGGUAAAACGGAAGGUGCAAGCGUUACUCGGAAGCACUGGGCGUAAAGAGCGCGUAGGCUGGGUAGCAAGUCAGAUGUGCAAUCCUAUGGCUUAAACAUAGAACUGCAUUUGAAACUGGUAUUCUAGAGUAUGGGAUAGGUAGGUGGAAUUCUAGGUGUAGGGGUGAAAUCCGUAGAGA